RNAcentral lists this ribosomal RNA (409 nucleotides) under uncultured bacterium. RNAcentral's name for it is "bacterial SSU rRNA". It matches the Rfam family "Bacterial small subunit ribosomal RNA", at positions 78 to 524 of the family's 1533-position model. The record is from RNAcentral.
GAACGCACGCAAGGUGAGUGGCGCACGGGUGAGUACGCGUGGGACCUGCCCUGGAGUGGGGGAUAACCCGGCGAAAGCCGGGCUAAUACCGCAUACGUCCUGAGGGAGAAAGAUUUAUCGCUCUAGGAGGGGCCCGCGUCGGAUUAGCUAGUUGGUGAGGUAACGGCUCACCAAGGCGACGAUCCGUAGCUGGUCUGAGAGGAUGAUCAGCCACACUGGGACUGAGACACGGCCCAGACUCCUACGGGAGGCAGCAGUGGGGAAUAUUGGACAAUGGGGGAAACCCUGAUCCAGCAAUGCCGCGUGAGUGAUGAAGGCCUUAGGGUUGUAAAGCUCUUUCGGCGGGGACGAUGAUGACGGUACCCGCAGAAGAAGCCCCGGCUAACUUCGUGCCAGCAGCCGCGGUAAU